This 506-nucleotide ribosomal RNA is filed under the name uncultured bacterium. RNAcentral describes it as "partial 16S ribosomal RNA". It matches the Rfam family "Bacterial small subunit ribosomal RNA", at positions 29 to 523 of the family's 1533-position model. The record is from RNAcentral.
AGUGAACGCUGGCGGUAGGCCUAACACAUGCAAGUCGAACGGCAGCACAGAGGAGCUUGCUCCUUGGGUGGCGAGUGGCGGACGGGUGAGGAAUACAUCGGAAUCUACUCUGUCGUGGGGGAUAACGUAGGGAAACUUACGCUAAUACCGCAUACGACCUACGGGUGAAAGCAGGGGAUCUUCGGACCUUGCGCGAUUGAAUGAGCCGAUGUCGGAUUAGCUAGUUGGCGGGGUAAAGGCCCACCGAGGCGACGAUCCGUAGCUGGUCUGAGAGGAUGAUCAGGCACACUGGAACUGAGACACGGUCCAAACUCCUACGGGAGGCAGCAGUGGGGAAUAUUGGACAAUGGGCGCAAGCCUGAUCCAGCCAUACCGCGUGGGUGAAGAAGGCCUUCGGGUUGUAAAGCCCUUUUGUUGGGAAAGAAAUCCAUCUGGUUAAUACCCGGGUGGGAUGACGGUACCCAAAGAAUUAGCACCGGCUAACUUCGUGCCAGCCGCCGCCGUAA